Molecule: RNase P RNA, 349 nt
Filed under: Enterobius vermicularis (human pinworm)
Lineage: Eukaryota; Metazoa; Nematoda; Chromadorea; Rhabditida; Oxyuridae
Description: Nuclear RNase P
Rfam family: Nuclear RNase P
About the family: Ribonuclease P (RNase P) is a ubiquitous endoribonuclease, found in archaea, bacteria and eukarya as well as chloroplasts and mitochondria. Its best characterised activity is the generation of mature 5'-ends of tRNAs by cleaving the 5'-leader elements of precursor-tRNAs.
Source: Rfam by way of RNAcentral
GUUGGUGCGAAGUUGAUUUAAGGAGUGCCGCGCAGGUGCAUCAGUCACCUCUGAUCUUUGAACUCUCCUGGGAAGGUCUGAGAUGAGGUUCCAACUUACUCUUAUCGUUGAUUUGGUAAGGGAAGUUGUAUCCACCUAGCAGGGGAUCUCCCUAGUUGGGGGAAGGGCCGUACCAGAAAAAAUCGGUUCAUUUGCUGCUAUAUGCGUGGCACAAGACGACCAGUCGGUGGCAACAUUGGCUGCGCCGGAUGCUUGGUGUGUAUAGCGGCAGUUUGGAAACGGCGCUGAUACCAGCUGUGCUGAGUGCGAUAAUCAUAGUUAACUCAAUUCAGACUACUCUCUCGCCAAC